Molecule: unclassified non-coding RNA, 268 nt
Filed under: Hevea brasiliensis (rubber tree)
Lineage: Eukaryota; Viridiplantae; Streptophyta; Magnoliopsida; Malpighiales; Euphorbiaceae
Source: RNAcentral
AGAACAAUAAUUGGAAAUAGCCCUGAAAAAAUAAUUUGUUCCAUAAAUAAAGCUUCACAUAGCACCAUAGUCCAAUGGCUGAAACUACAAUACAUAAAACUAUUACAGUACAAUUUGACAAACAUGGUUGGGCCAGAUGAAAAAGCAACUGUUCCUGCUUAAUGGAAAGGGUCACAGGACAAAAUAAAGUUAAAUGUAAUGAAAUUAACUAGAUAUAAUGCUUCACAUCCAUAUGCUAAUCUCACCUUCCCAUGGUUGCCAUUACUUG